RNAcentral lists this ribosomal RNA (301 nucleotides) under uncultured bacterium. RNAcentral describes it as "partial 16S ribosomal RNA". It matches the Rfam family "Bacterial small subunit ribosomal RNA", at positions 509 to 807 of the family's 1533-position model. The record is from RNAcentral.
CAGUCGCCACGGUAAUACGUAGGGUGCAAGCGUUAAUCAGAAUUACUGGGCGUAAAGCGUGCGCAGGCGGUUUGUUAAGACAGAUGUGAAAUCCCCGGGCUUAACCUGGGAACUGCAUUUGUGACUGGCAAGCUAGAGUAUGGCAGAGGGGGGUGGAAUUCCGCGUGUAGCAGUGAAAUGCGUAGAUAUGCGGAGGAACACCGAUGGCGAAGGCAGCCCCCUGGGCCAAUACUGACGCUCAUGCACGAAAGCGUGGGGAGCAAACAGGAUUAGAUACCCGAGUAGUCCCUGUCUCUUAUAC